Molecule: ribosomal RNA, 250 nt
Filed under: uncultured bacterium
Lineage: Bacteria
Description: partial 16S ribosomal RNA
Rfam family: Bacterial small subunit ribosomal RNA
Source: RNAcentral
UACGUAGGGCGCAAGCGUUACUCGGAAUCACUGGGCAUAAAGGGCGUGUAGGCGGGUGUGUAAGUCCGGUGUGAAAUCCCUCGGCUCAACCGAGGAAGGCCAUUGGAUACUGCACAUCUUGAGUGCGGGAGGGGAGAGUGGAACUCUUGGUGGAGCGGUGAAAUGCGUAGAUAUCAAGAGGAACGCCGGUGGCGAAAGCGGCUCUCUGGCCCGUAACUGACGCUGAGGCGCGAAAGCUAGGGGAGCAAAC